UGGGGAAUAUUGCACAAUGGGCGCAAGCCUGAUGCAGCCAUGCCGCGUGUAUGAAGAAGGCCUUCGGGUUGUAAAGUACUUUCAGCGGGGAGGAAGGGAGUAAAGUUAAUACCUUUGCCCAUUGACGUUACCCGCAGAAGAAGCACCGGCUAACUCCGUGCCAGCAGCCGCGGUAAUACGGAGGGUGCAAGCGUUAAUCGGAAUUACUGGGCGUAAAGCGCCCGCAGGCGGUUUGUUAAGUCAGAUGUGAAAUCCCCGGGCUCAACCUGGGAACUGCAUCUGAUACUGGCAAGCUUGAGUCUCGUAGAGGGGGGUAGAAUUCCAGGUGUAGCGGUGAAAUGCGUAGAGAUCUGGAGGAAUACCGGUGGCGAAGGCGGCCCCCUGGACGAAGACUGACGCUCAGGUGCGAAAGCGUGGGGAGCAAACAGG
Molecule: ribosomal RNA, 429 nt
Filed under: Chloroflexota bacterium
Lineage: Bacteria; Bacillati; Chloroflexota
Description: Chloroflexi bacterium partial 16S ribosomal RNA
Rfam family: Bacterial small subunit ribosomal RNA
Source: RNAcentral